UACAGAGGUGGCAAGCGUUGUUCGGAAUUACUGGGCGUAAAGGGCGCGUAGGCGGCCUUCUAAGUCAGACGUGAAAUCCCCCGGCUUAACCUGGGAACUGCGUCUGAUACUGGGAGGCUUGAGUAUGGGAGAGGGAUGUAGAAUUCCAGGUGUAGCGGUGAAAUGCGUAGAUAUCUGGAGGAAUACCGGUGGCGAAGGCGGGUCUCUGGGCCGAUACUGACGCUGAGGAGCGAAAGCGUGGGGAGCGAACAGG
RNAcentral lists this ribosomal RNA (253 nucleotides) under uncultured bacterium. RNAcentral's name for it is "partial 16S ribosomal RNA". It matches the Rfam family "Bacterial small subunit ribosomal RNA", at positions 524 to 776 of the family's 1533-position model. The record is from RNAcentral.